GAAAAACCAGUUUAAAAUUUCAACAGCAUCUGACCCAAACAGAGCCUGAGUUUACUUUACAUGCUUCCCAGAUAGAUUAUUUCCUGUUUUGCAACCCUUCAGUGCCAACCAACAAUGACGGGAAGGAUCUUACUUGCUGUCUAGACGAGUGUCUAACACUCUCAGACAUGGCUGUCUGCUCAGUCUCCUUUGCUCACACUGGUAAACAGAAGUGGAUUAGGUUGAAGGUGUGAAAAUGAAAGACAACCUUGAAUAGCUCCAACAGAAACCCUGGAGUAUGGCAGAGACAAAUUCAACUCUGGGCAGAAAGGUGCUCUGUCGUGUUGCUGUUCAUUUUCUCUAUUGCUUAAUUGGAUAAAGGGACUCAUUGGACCUCUGCAGUGACCCUUAUAACAAUGGAGGUGCAAUAACAUCCAUCAGCACUGGCAAAACAGCUCUUGCACUGCACUUACACACACAGCCAGUCUGCGCUGCCGCAUGGUCUGAGGCUGAUUUUGGUGCAAUGUAGAUGGUCGUGUUUCCAUCGCUCUUCGAGUGCAGAUUAAACAAACAGGUUACAGGGUGUUCAUCAAAAACAUUUAGAGGUGUUAGUAGGUAGUAGUAGGAUUUUUUAACUUUUGGACAGAGCCAGGCUAGCUGUUUCCCUCUGCUUCCAGUCAUUAUGCUAAGCUAGGCUAACCAUAUGCUGGCUCUAGCUCCAUAGAAACAUAAGGUUGAUGUAAGUAUUCUUAUCAUCUCUGUGAGCAAGCAAGUAUCUCCUAGAAUAUUCAACUAUUACUUUACUACGAAUGAAAAUAUAAAACUAAAGGUACACUGUGGAGUUUUUGACCACUAGUGGCGCUGCAGAUCAAGUCAUGAGGAUGUCCCUGUACUGUGUGUAUCUGUGUCUGUACAGUCUCUGAAUCUGUGCUGUGAGACUAUAGUAUACUUUCAUUCAGUGUAGUUUGGCAAUAAAGUUGUAUGAUUAUAUGUUGAAGCAGUAACAUUUGGCAGAUCCAUCGUACAUCCAACGAGAAAAGCAAAAGUAAACAUCAUCUGAAUGCCCUGA
Molecule: long non-coding RNA, 1048 nt
Organism: Seriola aureovittata
Lineage: Eukaryota; Metazoa; Chordata; Actinopteri; Carangiformes; Carangidae
Exons: 3
Source: RefSeq, a predicted model, not a curated record